UUUGGGUUUAAUGAGUCUGGUUCA
Molecule: small nuclear RNA, 24 nt
Filed under: Arabidopsis thaliana (thale cress)
Lineage: Eukaryota; Viridiplantae; Streptophyta; Magnoliopsida; Brassicales; Brassicaceae
Description: snRNA_09551
Source: RNAcentral